AGAGAGAUAGUUCUUCAAGGUUUCAGAAGAAAGCAAGAGACUAGGCUGAUAGGCGAAAAAGGGAUUCCAGCUUUGAAAAUCAAGUAAGCAACCGGCAUAUAAUGCCUGAUGGACUGCUGGCGAGUGGACGAACGAGGUGGGGCUCGGGAUAUGGAUACCACUCGCAAAUAUUU
Morus notabilis is the source of this 173-nucleotide long non-coding RNA. RefSeq lists it as uncharacterized. Lineage: Eukaryota; Viridiplantae; Streptophyta; Magnoliopsida; Rosales; Moraceae. The record is from RefSeq and is a predicted model, not a curated record. The transcript has 3 exons.